CACCACGGAGGUUAAACGCCGGGGUCAUCAGGGCGAGGGGUUGGCUGGUCGUUGUCAGAAACCGGGAACGCCGGCCUCCCGUUAUUCGGGGUGGCCCGCCCGCCCCUCCCGGGGGGCCCGCGAGCUCCUCGAGGCCGGGCGGGGGCCGUGUUCUCGCCGUAACGUUCCCCACCCCGGCCUCCGCCGAGCCCAGCCGAAGCCUCUGUACUUGUGGACUGAAGAAGUGAUGGCGGCGGAGAGCCCGGAGGGCGGAAGUGGUUGGUUUGUUGGGUGGGCGUUGACCUGUUCGUGCCCUCGGUGCGGAUGAUCCGAGGAUGCACCAGCUUCUGGGAGUAUCAGGGAACAGGGCAACAGGAAGGUGGGGACAAGACAUCAAAAAACGAUAGGAUUGCUUUUUAUUUCGAUGACAGUAACAAGGAGGCCCCCCGCCACUCUGCUUUAUGUAAAAACACGUCCAGCAUCGUGAGCAGUCAUCAGCGGGAAGGGACCAAGCCCCAGGCGCCCACAGGGCAUCUCAAG
This is a long non-coding RNA of Cervus elaphus (red deer), 519 nucleotides long. RefSeq lists it as uncharacterized. The record is from RefSeq and is a predicted model, not a curated record. Lineage: Eukaryota; Metazoa; Chordata; Mammalia; Artiodactyla; Cervidae. The transcript has 2 exons.